GACAGAGGUGGCAAGCGUUGUUCGGAUUUACUGGGCUUAAAGGGCGUGUAGGCGUCCUGAUAAGUCAGAUGUGGAAGCCUUGGGCUUAACCCAAGAAUUGCAUUUGAAACUGUCAGGAUUGAGUCGUGCAUGGGAGGGCGGAAUUCCUGGUGUAGCGGUGAAAUGCGUAGAUAUCAGGAGGAAGGCCGGUGGUGAAGAUGGCCCUCUGGGCAAUGACUGACGCUGAGGCGCGAAAGCGUGGGUAGCAAAC
This 250-nucleotide ribosomal RNA is filed under the name uncultured bacterium. Its description in RNAcentral is "partial 16S ribosomal RNA". It matches the Rfam family "Bacterial small subunit ribosomal RNA", at positions 524 to 773 of the family's 1533-position model. The record is from RNAcentral.